RNAcentral lists this RNase P RNA (374 nucleotides) under Streptococcus orisratti. RNAcentral's name for it is "partial ribonuclease P RNA". It matches the Rfam family "Bacterial RNase P class B". Rfam says of the family: Ribonuclease P (RNase P) is a ubiquitous endoribonuclease, found in archaea, bacteria and eukarya as well as chloroplasts and mitochondria. Its best characterised activity is the generation of mature 5'-ends of tRNAs by cleaving the 5'-leader elements of precursor-tRNAs. Lineage: Bacteria; Bacillati; Bacillota; Bacilli; Lactobacillales; Streptococcaceae. The record is from RNAcentral.
GUGCAAUUUUUGGAUAAUCGCGUAGUAUUCAAAUACUAUGAGGAAAGUCCAUGCUAGCACUGGCUGCGAUGCCGGUAGUGUUUGUGCUAGGCGAAAAAAUAAGCCUAGGGGGGUAGUCUUUUCUGCCCUACGGCGAGUAAAAUGGCUAAGUCGUAAGAUAUGUCAGAAUAACUCUGAAAGUGCCACAGUGACGUAGUUUUUAUGGAAACGUAAAAAAUGGAACGCGGUAAACCCCUCAAGCUAGCAACCCAAACUUUGGUAGGGGCAUGGGAUAGCUGGAAGUGAACGGUCUAUCCUGACUGGAAACAGUAGACAGAUGAUUAUCGAAGGAGAUGGUACCUAGUCAUCUCUGGAACAAAACAUGGCUUAUAGAA